Molecule: small RNA, 68 nt
Filed under: Nocardia seriolae
Lineage: Bacteria; Bacillati; Actinomycetota; Actinomycetes; Mycobacteriales; Nocardiaceae
Description: ASdes TB sRNA
Rfam family: ASdes TB sRNA
Source: Rfam by way of RNAcentral
AGGGCGACCGGAUCCACACCGCGGGUCACCACCAGAUAGUCGCGCAGCACCACACUGUGCCGGUUCUC